Felis catus (domestic cat) is the source of this 289-nucleotide long non-coding RNA. RefSeq lists it as uncharacterized. NCBI's taxonomy places the organism in Eukaryota, Metazoa, Chordata, Mammalia, Carnivora, Felidae. The record is from RefSeq and is a predicted model, not a curated record. The transcript is spliced from 2 exons.
CGACCUGAGCCGAAGUCGGACACUCAACCGACCGAGCCACCCGGGCGCCCCUGAAAUUUUUCUAGUAACCACAUUCAAAUGGCAAAAGGAGAUGGACUGUCAGCGUCUGGGGAACACGACUGAGUCUUUUCCGUCUCUCUCUGCCCUGCCGCGACACUCAGCUGAGAAUGGCACCCCUCGCUUUGCCUCUGCCGUCCAGACACUUGCGUUCUGCUUGGGGUGGGGCAGCCUCCCUCCAACGCUCAGGACACUUCAGGGCUUGAUCAACAUGCAUUCAAGUUCUCUUUAA